UACGUAGGGGCAAGCGUUGUCCGGAUUUAUUGGGCGUAAAGAGCUCGUAGGUGGUUCGGUAAGUCGGAUGUGAAAUCUCCAGGCUCAACCUGGAGGGUCAUUCGAUACUGCCGUGACUAGAGUUCGGUAGGGGAGUGUGGAAUUCCUGGUGGAGCGGUGAAAUGCGCAGAUAUCAGGAGGAACACCCGUAGCGAAGGCGGCACUCUGGCCGAUACUGACACUGAGGAGCGAAAGCGUGGGGAGCGAACAGG
Molecule: ribosomal RNA, 251 nt
Filed under: uncultured bacterium
Lineage: Bacteria
Description: partial 16S ribosomal RNA
Rfam family: Bacterial small subunit ribosomal RNA
Source: RNAcentral